Non-coding RNA from Podarcis lilfordi (Lilford's wall lizard), 74 nucleotides. NCBI's taxonomy places the organism in Eukaryota, Metazoa, Chordata, Lepidosauria, Squamata, Lacertidae. The record is from the annotation of a GenBank genome assembly.
GCCUGGAUAGCUCCAUAGGGUAGAGCAUGGUGCUGAUAAAGCUAAGGUUGCAGGUUCGAUCCCCGUAUGAGACA